UCAGCAUCAGUGAUGAGAUUAUAUAAAAACUUGUUAUCCUUGCACUUUGAUUCACCGUGAAGAAAAGAACGGGGUUUUAAUUCUCUGAGAUGCUU
Molecule: small nucleolar RNA, 95 nt
Organism: Mercurialis annua (annual mercury)
Lineage: Eukaryota; Viridiplantae; Streptophyta; Magnoliopsida; Malpighiales; Euphorbiaceae
Product: small nucleolar RNA snoR26
Exons: 1
Source: RefSeq, a predicted model, not a curated record